RNAcentral lists this ribosomal RNA (446 nucleotides) under uncultured bacterium. Its description in RNAcentral is "bacterial SSU rRNA". It matches the Rfam family "Bacterial small subunit ribosomal RNA", at positions 330 to 792 of the family's 1533-position model. The record is from RNAcentral.
UCCAGACUCCUACGGGAGGCAGCAGUGGGGGAUAUUGCACAAUGGGGGGAACCCUGAUGCAGCGACGCCGCGUGGGUGAAGAAGUAUUUCGGUAUGUAAAGCCCUAUCGGCAGGGAAGAAAUUGGACGGUACCUGACUAAGAAGCCCCGGCUAACUACGUGCCAGCAGCCGCGGAAAUACGUAGGGGGCAAGCGUUAUUCGGAUUCACGGGGUGUAAAGGGAGCGUAGACGGCCAUGCAAGCCUGGAGUGAAAGCCCGGGGCCCAACCCCGGGACUGCUCUGGGAACUGUGCGGCUGGAGUGCGGGAGGGGCAGGCGGAAUUCCUGGUGUAGCGGUGAAAUGCGUAGAUAUCAGGAGGAACACCGGCGGCGAAGGCGGCCUGCUGGACCGCGACUGACGUUGAGGCUCGAAAGCGUGGGGAGCAAACAGGAUUAGAUCCCCCGGUA